UAGGGCCACAGAGACGAGCGUAUUUAGUUACGGUGAAACGCGGUAACCUCCACUCGGAGCAAUUCCAAAUAGGCACGCGUUGAUGUUGCUCGCGGAGCGUGCGGGUAGGAAGCUUGAGCGCCGGAGUAAUUCGGCGCCUAGAGGAAUGAUUGUCGUGGUGGGAGUCCCCUCGGGGAGACCAACCAACAGAAUCCGGCCUAUCGGCCUGCUUUACAC
Molecule: RNase P RNA, 216 nt
Filed under: Massilia sp. YIM B02769
Lineage: Bacteria; Pseudomonadati; Pseudomonadota; Betaproteobacteria; Burkholderiales; Oxalobacteraceae
Description: partial RNase P RNA component class A
Rfam family: Bacterial RNase P class A
About the family: Ribonuclease P (RNase P) is a ubiquitous endoribonuclease, found in archaea, bacteria and eukarya as well as chloroplasts and mitochondria. Its best characterised activity is the generation of mature 5'-ends of tRNAs by cleaving the 5'-leader elements of precursor-tRNAs.
Source: RNAcentral